UUAAUAAGGAGUAAAUUUUUAGUUUUAAUCUUUUCAUAUGUUGUUUGUGCCUUCUGAAAUCAAUUUUUUGAUAAAAGAAAAUGCAACGUGAAGUUUAUUUGUUUGCAAAGAUCUUUUAGUAUUAAAAAAUCAGCUUUAAUUUUAGAGUAUCAUCAAUGUUUAUGAAAGACUUUCUUCUCGAUGAUUCUGAAAACCCAUCUGAUAUGUCAAUACAAUGUGACAAUGUUCCGAGUAUUUCAAAUAUGCAGUGCCAAAACUGUGAAAAAAAAGUAAAGAAGAAAGAAGAAAUUUCAAAAGGAUCUUUAAAUAUUAUAGUUAAUAUUGAUAAGGAUUUGCUACAAUUGAAAGGAUUUUUUUUACUAUUUUUUGCUGGAUUUGGUUCUACGCUUCCUUACUUAGGAGUUUAUUUUAUGCAGAUUGGAAUUAAUCCUACUAAAGUUGGUAUUCUAGCAGGAAUUAGGCCAAUUAUACAGUUUAUUAGUGGACCAUUUUGGGCAUUUUUAGCAGAUAAAUAUAAAGCUCGGAAAGCUAUACUUUUGUUUUCAAUUCUUGCAUGGUUGGUCAUGACACUGUUACUAGCUUUUCCAAGACCACAUAGAGAAGUUUGUAAAAUAACGAACACCUCUUACAGUGAAGCAAAGAUAAGGUUUGAUCUACCUUCAAAUUUUUCUCAACGUAAAGAUUUUAUCCCUGGAGUAAGCUUCCAAGGAAGGUUUGGUGAGUUACUAUACACUAAAAAUUGUAUGAAUUGUAAAUCAAGCAAGUUUGUUACAACAAAAGACAUCAAUGAAAAUUUUGUUUUUAAUAAUAAGAUAAAAAAUGCGGCAUUAUUUGAAAAUGAACAACAUUUUAUAAAUACAGAAAUAAAAACGAUUAAUAAGAGACAUUCAAUAAAAAAUUUAAGAGAGAAAACAGUUGAGCAUAUCGCUACGUAUCGUCAGAAAAACUUUCAAAUAAAGUAUGUCAUAGAAAGAGAUAAAUCAGAGAUUAAAGAUAUAUUUUAUGUCUUAUUAGUUUUAACAAUUAUUGGUGAGUUUUUAGAGGCUCCAUCGUUUAUUAUGAUAGAUACAGCUCUGUUGGAACAUUUGGGAGAAAACAAAAAACAUUAUGGCAAAACCCGACUAUUUGGAAGCAUUGGCUAUGGAUCGGCAUCGUUUAUAGUUGGAGCUGUUUUAAAUAAUUUUCAAUACGAAUUUUGUGGAAAAGCAUUUACAAAUUACAUGGUGUUAUUUUACUUGUUUUCAAUAUUUAUGGGUAUUGCGUUUGUUUUUGGUUUAUCUUUUAUAAAAUUUCGAUACGUUGAUAGUAAAGAGGCAACACGACCAUCAGACUGUGUAAAAAUUUUUUUAACUUUGAAGUAUGGAUCGUUUUUAGCAAUAUGUUGGUUUUUCGGUUUGUGCCACGGUAGUAUUAUGAAUUCUUUAAACUGGUAUCUAGAAGAUUUAGGUGCUUCUAAGCUAAUGAUGGAUAUAGCCACUGCUUGCAGAUGUGCAGCUAUUAUUAUAGGUUUUUUUUUGUCCGGCUACUUAAUUGAUAAAUUUGGUCAUAUUAAACUUAUUUGCUGGGCAUUAGGCUCGUAUGUAAUUAGUUUUUUCUGUUACGCAAGUUUAAAAAAACCGUGGUGGGCUAUACCUAUCGAAGUAGCACAAGGAUUAAUAUAUGCUACAUCAUGGUCAACAUGUAUUACUUAUCUUAGUGAUGCAACUCCACAAAAUACUGCUGCAACUAUGCAAGGUGUUUUGCAAGCCGUUUAUUGGGGUUUGGGCACAGGAUCAGGUGCUAUAUUGGGAGGUAGCCUAAUCAACCUCAUAGGUGUUAGAAAUACAUUUAUAGUUGAAGUUUCUGGUGAGCUUUGUUUUUAAUGGCGUUGACACUGUUUUGACACAUCAAAGCCGUAACCACAAUAAGGGACGGGAGCCUUGCCCCCCCUUCCCUUUAAAAAAAAGUUAAACUAUAAUUAUUAGGAAUAAAUAUAUAUUUAAAAUAUUUUUAACAUGUAUAUUUACAUAUAUGCAAAAAUGGCUGCUUGUCUUCGAUGGGUCAAUAAUGAUUUACAAGCACACGAAGAGUUAUGCAUCCAUUACGAAAUAAAACUUUCGAAGAAUUUGUCCGUGUUCUCAAAGAUAUUCUCUUGAGGAUGAAUUUGAGAUUAGAAGAUGCGCGUGUUCAAUGCUAUGAAGAAGCUGUUAAUAUGUCUGUUCCUAAAUCUGGAGUAGCAACAGAGAUAAAGUUAUUUAACAAAAAGUUACACGCAAUGCUACGGCCACGCUAUAAAUUUGCCAUCGGUAAUGUCAUCAAAAAUAUUCCAAGUCUUAACGAAACCUUUGGAACAACAUAUGAUUUGUAAUAUAUAUAUUUGCAAACUUAUUAAAAAAUUACCUAAAAAAAAAUUCUAAACUAAAUGCUAUUAGGGAACUAACGGAAACAAUUUAAAGUCUAUCCAUAAAUUAUGUCCAACAAGGUGGACAGUGCGUAGCGAUAUAGGAGAGUCAUUGCAAGAGUUGAAUAAUACCGAAAUUAAAGCUAGAAUCCGAAGUGUGAAGUUUAUAAUGUCAACAUUCGACUUUAUCUUUUGUUGCUAUUUAGGAGAAUGCCUCUUGAAACAAACAGACUAAGUAAGGCGCUCCAAGUUCAAAGUAUUUCGGCAGCGGAAGAGCAGAAUUUAGCAUCUCAAGUCGUUAAUGUUCUAGAAAAAUCCGGAAGCAGCGAAAUUUACAAACUGUUUUGGGAAUGUGUUAUGACCCUAAACUCUCGAGAAAAAGGAAAAUACCGGAUAAUUUUAAAACAACUCUUAACCUACAAAAAACUUACCAUUUCCAUGGUUUACCAAAAAAACAUUAUCGUCAAUUGUAUUUCAAGGCCUUCAAUCUUAUUAUCAGUUUUAUAAAAGAGAGGUAUGAUCAACCAGAUUAUAAGGUAUAUAUUGAUCUUCAGGAAGUUCUUCUCAAGUCAAUAAACAAGGAAAGUUAGGGAAAUCAUCUGCAAUCAGUUUGUCACUUUUACUGUCAAGACAUGAUCCAAUCUUUAGCUAAAAUACAAAUUGCUCUUCUCCCAAGCAUUGCAACAUCAUUAGGUUACGACAUCAAAAAAUUCACUAUCAAAGAUCUCAUUUUGUUUUUUAAGAGUUUGGAUCAUUCUAAAAGAGCUUUACUUACCGAAGUUGUAAAGAUUACCAAGCUAAUCUUUGUCAUGCCAGCUACUAAUGCUCUUAGUGAAAGACCUUCCUCCGCUUUAAAAAGAGUUAAAAACUACCUUCUAUUAACAACAACAGAUUCCCGUGAACAACAACUUGCUUGUUCUUCAUACUCACGUGGAAGCAGGGGUUAAAAUUAAUUUGGUUGAGAUCGCAGAUGAGUUUAUUAAUAAAUGUCAAAUUGGAAUAAACAUUUUCGGAAAUUUAAUUAGCGCUUUUGUUGAGAUAAACAAUGUAUUACGCAAGUAUUACAUUUUUUAAUUGUUUCAUCAAUUUGGAGUUUGAUUAUCAUUAAAUAUACAUUAUGAAUGAAAAUCAAAGCUUUUCGUUAACCCUCCCUCCUUUAAAAGUACCAUAGGCCCCCCGAAUACUAAAAUUGUGGCUACAGCUCUGGACAUGGAGUUAGUUGAAAACAUUUACAUGCUCAUACCUAUGUCAAAUGAAGAUGCUUUGGAAAACAUUUUUGGCCCUAAUACUCCAAAAAGCUUCAGGUGUGCGAGACAUAAUGCUGUGCAAAGCAUGAAAACAUGUGAACUAAUAUUCCUUCAUUAUUUGUAAGUUAGUGUUUUAUGUUGUCCUAAUCUAAUGUUUGAACCAUAUUUAACAU
This is an RNA transcript of Hydra vulgaris (swiftwater hydra), 3800 nucleotides long. It is a transcript of the gene named major facilitator superfamily domain-containing protein 6, with no coding region annotated. NCBI's taxonomy places the organism in Eukaryota, Metazoa, Cnidaria, Hydrozoa, Anthoathecata, Hydridae. The record is from RefSeq and is a predicted model, not a curated record.